UGACAGCUGGGUUUCCCAGGAUGGGAGA
Molecule: non-coding RNA, 28 nt
Filed under: Rattus norvegicus (Norway rat)
Lineage: Eukaryota; Metazoa; Chordata; Mammalia; Rodentia; Muridae
Source: RNAcentral